This 510-nucleotide ribosomal RNA is filed under the name uncultured bacterium. RNAcentral describes it as "partial 16S ribosomal RNA". It matches the Rfam family "Bacterial small subunit ribosomal RNA", at positions 28 to 507 of the family's 1533-position model. The record is from RNAcentral.
GACGAACGCUGGCGGCGUGCUUAACACAUGCAAGUCGAACGAAGAGCGAUGGAAGCUUGCUUCUAUCAAUCUUAGCGGCGAACGGGUGAGUAACGCGUAAUCAACCUGCCCUUCAGAGGGGGACAACAGUUGGAAACGACUGCUAAUACCGCAUACGAUCUAACCUCGGCAUCGAGGAAAGAUGAAAGGUGGCCUCUAUGUAUAAGCUAUCACUGAAGGAGGGGAUUGCGUCUGAUUAGCUAGUUGGAGGGGUAACGGCCCACCAAGGCGAUGAUCAGUAGCCGGUCUGAGAGGAUGAACGGCCACAUUGGGACUGAGACACGGCCCAGACUCCUACGGGAGGCAGCAGUGGGGAAUCUUCCGCAAUGGACGAAAGUCUGACGGAGCAACGCCGCGUGAGUGAUGACGGCCUUCGGGUUGUAAAGCUCUGUUAAUCGGGACGAAAGGCCUUCUUGCGAAUAGUGAGAAGGAUUGACGGUACCGGAAUAGAAAGCCACGGCUAACUACGUG